This is an RNA transcript of Fragaria vesca subsp. vesca, 919 nucleotides long. RefSeq lists it as uncharacterized. The record is from RefSeq and is a predicted model, not a curated record. Lineage: Eukaryota; Viridiplantae; Streptophyta; Magnoliopsida; Rosales; Rosaceae. The transcript has 2 exons.
CCAAGGUCUCUCUCUCUCUUCUGUCGUCGCAAUUCUCUGCCUUCCUCCGCCGGUCAACCGCUGGCACCAAGGUCUCUCUCUCUUCCGUCGUCGCAUCUCUCCGCCUUCCUCCGCCGAUCAACCGCCGGCGCCAAGGUCUCUCUCUUUCGUCGUCAUCUCUCUGCCUUCCUCCCCGGUCAACCGCCGGCGCCAAGGUCUCUCUCUUUCGUCGUCGCAUCUCUGCCUUCCUCCGCCGGUCAACCGCCGGUGACGACCUCUUCGGUUGCGCCGGCCCACCAUAUCCGGCGUCCUCCACGUCCUCCGAGGUGACUGGUGGAAAAAAAAAAAGAAGUCGAUUCACAUAAACUCUGUAUAUUCAUCCCAAGCUUUCUGAUCUUCACUACUGGAGUUUGAGGGAAGUGCAAAGAGGUUGGUAAAAACUGCCCUGCAAGAAGCAGCAAAGAAGAGAGAAAUGCGGUAUUCAGACUUGAAGAAGAUGACUGUGGUGUUUGUUGCCAUUUCCACGAUGACAUAACCGUGAUUGUUGUGUAGGUUUUGAUAUCUUUUAGCUAUCUAUUUGAUUACGGUAGGUUUUGAUCGUGAGUGCAGGUCAUAGGAGUUUAGCUCUCUAUGAUCUUAGUUAUAUAUAUGGAGGGUUAUUUUUAUGAAAGAGAGGUGGUGGAGCUACAAUACAAGCUUAGAGGCGAAGAUUGAAGUUUGCAGCAAAGAAAGAAUUAAAGCUGUUAUAUAUGACAGGGAUCACCCUUCUCAUCUUGAAGCUGUUUCAAGCUGUGUAUACAAUGGGAAAGCUUUUCUUGAUGUGAAAUUUUAUCUCUUAUGUAUUUCAAGCUGUAUACAAUGUUUCAAGCUUAUAUGUUGAAAUCCAAUGAUCUGGUUAUGUUUCUGAUCAAAUAUUAUGUAUCAUUUUAAAUUUUCAAUG